GAAUAUUUCGAUUGCCGUGAGCGCUUUUUGGUCCGACAGAGGUUCAGCGAUGACGAGUUUGGAGAACGCAU
Molecule: microRNA precursor, 71 nt
Filed under: Heligmosomoides polygyrus
Lineage: Eukaryota; Metazoa; Nematoda; Chromadorea; Rhabditida; Heligmosomidae
Description: microRNA hpo-mir-10050 precursor
Source: miRBase by way of RNAcentral